RNAcentral lists this transfer RNA (65 nucleotides) under Silo nigricornis. Its description in RNAcentral is "tRNA-Gly". The record is from RNAcentral. Lineage: Eukaryota; Metazoa; Arthropoda; Insecta; Trichoptera; Goeridae.
AUUUAUAUAAUAUAAUUAGUAUGUUUGACUUCCAAUCAAAAAGUUUAAAAUUUUUAAUAUAAAUA